Molecule: ribosomal RNA, 382 nt
Filed under: uncultured eukaryote
Lineage: Eukaryota
Description: partial 18S ribosomal RNA
Rfam family: Eukaryotic small subunit ribosomal RNA
Source: RNAcentral
UGUAAGCGUAUACCAAAGUUGUUGCAGUUAAAACGCUCGUAGUCGGAAUUUGGCAGUUCCGGAUGUGUGCACGUCGUGUGCGCACUUCGCGGGGAUUGCUUUUGUGGUCUUGCGUAGGAUGAGGCACUUUUAUUAGUGAACGUCCUCACGCAACCACUUUUUACUGUGAGAAAAUCAGAGUGCUCAAAGCAGGCAUUUGCCGUGAAUGUAUUAGCAUGGAAUAAUAGAAUAGGACUUGGUUCUAUUUUGUUGGUUUGUUGGGACUGAGUAAUGAUUAAGAGGGACAGUUGGGGGCAUUUGUAUUUCGGUGCUAGAGGUGAAAUUCUUAGAUUACCGAAAGACAAACUGCUGCGAAAGCGUCGGCCAAGGAUGUUUUCAUUGA